Non-coding RNA from Maylandia zebra (zebra mbuna), 207 nucleotides. The record is from RefSeq and is a predicted model, not a curated record. NCBI's taxonomy places the organism in Eukaryota, Metazoa, Chordata, Actinopteri, Cichliformes, Cichlidae.
AUUGACUUGCGCGCUGGUAACUGGCUGACAGAGGGCUUGAUGUAAGGUAAAAAGUUCUUCGACACAACGGUGAUUUUGCCAUACAACAUAUUCAGAAUGAGCAUCACUCAGGUGAAGAAAAAGGCAUCCCUGCUAUGCAACAAUAAGCGUGUGAAGGAGGGGAAAACAAGGAGGGUGACUCCAUCAGUUUUCUCCCAGGAGAUGUUG